This is a long non-coding RNA of Manis pentadactyla (Chinese pangolin), 404 nucleotides long. RefSeq lists it as uncharacterized. NCBI's taxonomy places the organism in Eukaryota, Metazoa, Chordata, Mammalia, Pholidota, Manidae. The transcript has 3 exons. The record is from RefSeq and is a predicted model, not a curated record.
GUUGGAGACAGCUGCUCCAAGGGACAUUAUUUUUAUGAACAUCAAAUGUAAGAAGACAAAGAGCUGCUGACAGCCCCCUUUCAUUUCGGCCACAUUACCUGGGGAGUGUCUGCCUCUCGGUGUUUGCAAGGAUGUAAUUGUUACUGAUCAAGACAGAGCAAUGAGUCUGCUGCCUCACAUGCCGAGUGAAGAAAAUGCUAGAUACCCUUCUGGAGCUUGUAACUCCCAGCACCCCAGAGGUAGAAGGACCAACCAGUGUCUCCCUCCAUCUCUUGCAGGCUCCACAUCAAAGCUGAAGCAUCAUGUCUGCCUCUUGUUAACUGCUUGUGUGACUAAGGAAUGCUGAUACCUCCGAAUUAUUUUCAGGGGUCCAUAGAUGUUUUUACAUGAGCAAGAAUUCUCAG